RNAcentral lists this ribosomal RNA (468 nucleotides) under uncultured bacterium. RNAcentral describes it as "partial 16S ribosomal RNA". It matches the Rfam family "Bacterial small subunit ribosomal RNA", at positions 28 to 507 of the family's 1533-position model. The record is from RNAcentral.
GAUGAACGCUGGCGGCGUGCUUAACACAUGUAAGUCGAACGGAAAGGCCCAAGCUUGCUUGGGUACUCGAGUGGCGAACGGGUGAGUAACACGUGGGUGAUCUGCCCUGCACUUCGGGAUAAGCCUGGGAAACUGGGUCUAAUACCGGAUAGGACGAUGGUUUGGAUGCCAUUGUGGAAAGUUUUUUCGGUGUGGGAUGAGCUCGCGGCCUAUCAGCUUGUUGGUGGGGUAAUGGCCUACCAAGGCGUCGACGGGUAGCCGGCCUGAGAGGGUGUACGGCCACAUUGGGACUGAGAUACGGCCCAGGCUCCUACGGGAGGCAGCAGUGGGGAAUAUUGCACAAUGGGCGCAAGCCUGAUGCGGCGACGCCGCGUGGGGGAUGACGGCCUUCGGGUUGUAAACUCCUUUCGCUAGGGACGAAGCGUUUUUGUGACGGUACCUGGAGAAGAAGCACCGGCUAACUACGUG